GGCGAGUGNNCGGCAACAGCUCAAAUUUGAAAGCUAGCCUUCGGGUUCGCAUUGUAAUUUGUAGAGGAUGAUUUGGGGAAGCCGCCUGUCUAAGUUCCUUGGAACAGGACGUCAUAGAGGGUGAGAAUCCCGUAUGUGACAGGAAAUGGCACCCUAUGUAAAUCUCCUUCGACGAGUCGAGUUGUUUGGGAAUGCAGCUCUAAAUGGGAGGUAAAUUUCUUCUAAAGCUAAAUAUUGGCGAGAGACCGAUAGCGCACAAGUAGAGUGAUCGAAAGAUGAAAAGCACUUUGGAAAGAGAGUUAAAAAGCACGUGAAAUUGUUGAAAGGGAAGCGCUUGCAAUCAGACUUGUUUAAACUGUUCGGCCGGUCUUCUGACCGGUUUACUCAGUUUGGACAGGCCAGCAUCAGUUUCGGCGGCCGGAUAAAGGCUCUGGGAAUGUGGCCUCCACUUCGGUGGAGGUGUUAUAGCCCAGGGUGUAAUACGGCCAGCCGGGACUGAGGUCCGCGCUUCGGCUAGGAUGCUGGCGUAAUGGUUGUAAGCGACCCGUCUUGAAACCACG
Molecule: ribosomal RNA, 560 nt
Filed under: Aureobasidium pullulans
Lineage: Eukaryota; Fungi; Ascomycota; Dothideomycetes; Dothideales; Saccotheciaceae
Description: eukaryotic LSU rRNA
Rfam family: Eukaryotic large subunit ribosomal RNA
Source: RNAcentral